GUACAGUGAGGAGACUGCAAACUUUAGAUGGCCGAACGCUUAAUCCUGGUGAAGAGCCGCCCAUGAUUCCUGCCUUCAUUGAAAGAGCUUACAAAAAUGAUUCUUCAGUUUCGCAGUCAACCCCUGAACAACAAAAGAAAUCAAUACCAACAGAACCUGUUACUGUUAAUACAAAGGAUGAACCUGCUUCCAAGGCUGUGGUACAAAAACCUGAAAUAAGCCAGACAAGUAAACCUAAAAAGCCUGCAAAACUUGCUCCUUCAGAGAAGAAGUCAGCAGAUCGAGUUUCUCGUUGGGGGGAUGAGUCCGAUGAAGAGAAGGAACCUAAUGAACCUGUGAGAACAAAGGAGGAAGACGAGCAGAUCUUAAAGGCUGAACAGGCGAGGAAGAAGGAAGAAGAAGCAAAGCUGAAGGAAAAGAAAAGGCUAGAGGAAAUUGAGAAAGCUAAGGAGGCACUGCAGAGGAAAAAGCGUAAUGCCGAAAAGGCCCAACAAAGGGCUCUCUAUAAGGCACAAAAAGAAGCUGAGCAAAAAGAGAAGGUAAUAACAUUAUGAGUUAAACUCGUAAAAUGAUUAGUUUAAUUACGCAUGUAAUCACAUUACAUUAUGAUUUCCGUUUGUCGUGAUUAAAUGUUUCUAAAUGUCUAUCCCAUUAAAUUAAAUGUGAUUAAUUGACCAUGGUAAAUAUUUUUUAUACUGCAGAGUGAAUAGUCAAUAAGCUUAAACUAAAAUUCAUUUACCGGUAGUUCUUCAGCUAUAUAAUAUAACCAUGCCUAUUUGUGCAGGAAAGGGAGAAAAGAGCAAAGAAGAAGGGAAAAAGAAAGACAGUUACUACUGAAGAUGCUGUGGAGAAUACAGAACAAGAUGCUGCAGCUUCUCCUAGCUCUGAAACUCUGACAAGAACUCUUGAAGAAUCUGAUCAGAUCGAGAAACCAGUUGAGGUAACAAAACGAGCAGUGAAACCAUCUCAAUUCACAAAACAAAACAAGGUGAAAGCUUUACCCAUGGCUAUUCGCAACCGUGGUAAGAGACGAAUUCAACCAUGGAUGUGGUGGGUUCUAAUUGCAG
This 1067-nucleotide long non-coding RNA is filed under the name Medicago truncatula (barrel medic). RNAcentral's name for it is "long non-coding RNA (MTRU_LNC000960)". Lineage: Eukaryota; Viridiplantae; Streptophyta; Magnoliopsida; Fabales; Fabaceae. The record is from RNAcentral.